UACGGAGGGUGCAAACGUUAAUCGGAAUCACUGGGCGUAAAGCGCACGUAGGCGGUUCGUUAAGUGGGAUGUGAAAGACCUGGGCUCAACCUGUGAAUUGCGUUUCAAACUGACGGACUAGAGUACGAUAGAGGGACGUAGAAUUUCCUGUGUAGCGGUGAAAUGCGUAGAUAUAGGAAGGAAUACCUCUGGCGAAGGCGGCCUCCUGGAUCGAUACUGACGCUGAGGUGCGUAAGCGUGGGGAGCAAACAGG
This 253-nucleotide ribosomal RNA is filed under the name uncultured bacterium. Its description in RNAcentral is "partial 16S ribosomal RNA". It matches the Rfam family "Bacterial small subunit ribosomal RNA", at positions 524 to 776 of the family's 1533-position model. The record is from RNAcentral.